This 62-nucleotide non-coding RNA is filed under the name Chromera velia. Lineage: Eukaryota; Chromeraceae. The record is from RNAcentral.
AAAGAAAGAAAGAAAGAAAAGAAAGAGAGGAAGAACGAAAAGAAAAAAUUCAUCGAUGAUUC